UGGCAAUGAUGUCUGAAUUUCUUCACCUGAAACUCUGUGUAGAUUAAAAACGAGCUUUUUAACCCUGAGCAGA
Molecule: small nucleolar RNA, 73 nt
Organism: Sphaeramia orbicularis (orbiculate cardinalfish)
Lineage: Eukaryota; Metazoa; Chordata; Actinopteri; Kurtiformes; Apogonidae
Source: Ensembl